ACGAACGCUGGCGGUGUGCUUCAUACAUGCAAGUCGAACGAAGAGGCCUUUCGGGGCACUUCAGUGGCGGACGGGUGAGUAACACGUAGGUAACGUGCCCUAUCCUGGGGGAUAACACCUCGAAAGAGGUGCUAAUACCGCAUAAGCUAAAGGUUGCAAUACUUUUAGUGAAAGAAUUUCGGGAUAGGAUCGGCCUGCGUCGGAUUAGCUUGUUGGUAGGGUAAAGGCCUACCAAGGCAAUGAUCCGUAGUUGGUCUGAGAGGAUGACCAGCCACAGUGGAACUGAGACACGGUCCACACUCCUACGGGAGGCAGCAGUAGGGAAUAUUGCGCAAUGGGCGAAAGCCUGACGCAGCAACACCGCGUGUAGGAUGAAGCCUUUCGGGGUGUAAACUACUGUCAGCUGGGAAGAAACAUGACGGUACCAGCAGAGGAAGCAUCGGCUAACUACGU
RNAcentral lists this ribosomal RNA (453 nucleotides) under uncultured bacterium. RNAcentral's name for it is "bacterial SSU rRNA". It matches the Rfam family "Bacterial small subunit ribosomal RNA", at positions 29 to 506 of the family's 1533-position model. The record is from RNAcentral.